This 354-nucleotide ribosomal RNA is filed under the name Triticum aestivum (bread wheat). RNAcentral's name for it is "partial small subunit ribosomal RNA". The record is from RNAcentral. Lineage: Eukaryota; Viridiplantae; Streptophyta; Magnoliopsida; Poales; Poaceae.
AUGGCAUGGUUCAGUGUUGGGUAUCCUGCACAAACACCAAUCCAAGCAAGCACUUCUACAAGUGCUAGCACGAGUGGGCACGUACCAGGCAUCUUUGCUAACCUGUUUACAUUUGUUGUGUUUCUUGCUAUCAAUUUCAAGUUUCAUUUUUCUGUUCUAGUCUCGCGAGUGCAACUUCUGGAAAUGGGAGGAGAACUACAUGAACGUCAUUCGCGCCAAAUGGCCCAGGGAGUUCACAAUCCCUUCUCGUCAAGACAGGAAGUUCCACCGCAUCAUCAUCGCCCUUCCGGCACUGAAUCUUCUCGCCGUGCUGUUCGUAUGCUGCAAGGUUGCCUGAACCACGUCUUUUGCUAA